Long non-coding RNA from Schistocerca gregaria, 1528 nucleotides. RefSeq lists it as uncharacterized. NCBI's taxonomy places the organism in Eukaryota, Metazoa, Arthropoda, Insecta, Orthoptera, Acrididae. The record is from RefSeq and is a predicted model, not a curated record. The transcript has 2 exons.
AAAUGAUUAUUCUCAACAAACCAUAAGGACAUUGGUACUUUAUACUUCAUAUUUGGAGCAUGAGCAGGAAUAGUAGGAACAUCAAUAAGAAUACUUAUUCGUGCUGAACUUGGCCAACCCGGAUCUCUAAUUGGGGAUGACCAGAUUUAUAAUGUUAUUAUUACAGCUCACGCAUUCGUAAUAAUUUUCUUUAUAGUAAUACCUAUUAUAAUUGGUGGAUUUGGUAAUUGACUUGUUCCACUAAUAAUUGGUGCACCAGAUAUAGCAUUUCCACGAAUAAAUAAUAUAAGUUUUUGAUUACUACCACCUUCACUAACCCUUCUUCUUACAUCUUCUAUAGUAGAUAAUGCUGCUGGUACAGGAUGAACAGUUUACCCUCCUCUAGCAGGAGCUAUUGCACACGGGGGUGCAUCUGUAGAUCUAGCUAUUUUUUCACUGCACUUAGCAGGUGUAUCAUCUAUUCUUGGUGCAGUGAAUUUCAUUACAACAGCAAUUAAUAUACGAUCAGAAAGUAUAACUUUAGAUCAAACACCUUUAUUUGUAUGAUCUGUAGCUAUUACAGCAUUACUUCUCCUUCUUUCACUUCCAGUUUUAGCAGGAGCUAUUACUAUAUUAUUAACAGAUCGAAAUUUAAAUACAUCAUUCUUUGACCCUGCAGGAGGGGGUGACCCAAUUCUAUAUCAACAUCUAUUUUGAUUCUUUGGACACCCAGAAGUUUAUAUUUUAAUUCUACCGGGGUUCGGAAUUAUUUCACAUAUUGUAUGUCAAGAAAGAGGAAAAAUUGAAUCAUUUGGAACAUUAGGUAUAAUUUAUGCUAUACUAUCAAUUGGACUAAUAGGAUUUAUUGUAUGAGCACAUCAUAUAUUUACAGUAGGAAUGGAUGUUGACACACGAGCAUAUUUUACAUCAGCAACAAUAAUUAUUGCUGUACCUACAGGAAUUAAGGUAUUUAGAUGAUUAGCUACAUUAUAUGGAACUAAAUUCAAGUUCAAUCCACCAUUAUUAUGAGCUCUAGGAUUUAUUUUCCUAUUUACAAUUGGUGGAUUAACAGGAUUAGUAUUAGCAAAUUCAUCACUUGAUAUUGUAUUACAUGAUACAUAUUAUGUAGUAGCCCACUUUCAUUAUGUAUUAUCUAUAGGAGCAGUAUUUGCAAUUAUAGGAGGUGUCAUUCAAUGAUAUCCACUAUUUACAGGAUUAACUAUAAAUAAUACAUGAUUAAAAAUCCAAUUUACAAUUAUAUUCAUUGGAGUAAAUUUAACAUUCUUUCCUCAACACUUCCUAGGAUUAGCAGGAAUACCUCGACGAUACUCUGACUACCCAGACGCAUAUACAUCAUGAAACGUAGUAUCAAGAAUUGGGUCUACAAUUUCUAUUGUAGGAAUCAUUAUAUUCAUUGUAAUUAUAUGAGAAAGAAUGAUUACAAACAGAGCAACUAUAUUUAGAGCUAACAUAAGAAGAUCAACAGAAUGACUACAAAAUAACCCUCCUGCAGAACAUAGUUACUCAGAAUUACCAUUAAUCUCUAGAU